UACAGGGGGGGCAAGCGUUGUUCGGAAUUACUGGGCGUAAAGGGCUCGUAGGCGGCCAACUAAGUCACACGUGAAAUCCCCAGGCUUAACCUGGGAACUGCGUGUGAUACUGGAUGGCUUGAAUCCGGGAGAGGGAUGCGGAAUUCCAGGUGUAGCGGUGAAAUGCGUAGAUAUCUGGAGGAACACCGAUUGCGAAGGCAGCUCGCUGGAACGUUACUGACGCUGAGACGCGAAAGCGUGGGGAGCAAACAGG
Molecule: ribosomal RNA, 253 nt
Filed under: uncultured bacterium
Lineage: Bacteria
Description: partial 16S ribosomal RNA
Rfam family: Bacterial small subunit ribosomal RNA
Source: RNAcentral